RNAcentral lists this ribosomal RNA (485 nucleotides) under uncultured bacterium. Its description in RNAcentral is "partial 16S ribosomal RNA". It matches the Rfam family "Bacterial small subunit ribosomal RNA", at positions 27 to 507 of the family's 1533-position model. The record is from RNAcentral.
GAUUGAACGCUGGCGGCAGGCCUAACACAUGCAAGUCGAGCGGAUGAAGGGAGCUUGCUCCUGGAUUCAGCGGCGGACGGGUGAGUAAUGCCUAGGAAUCUGCCUGGUAGUGGGGGAUAACGUCCGGAAACGGGCGCUAAUACCGCAUACGUCCUGAGGGAGAAAGUGGGGGAUCUUCGGACCUCACGCUAUCAGAUGAGCCUAGGUCGGAUUAGCUAGUUGGUGGGGUAAAGGCCUACCAAGGCGACGAUCCGUAACUGGUCUGAGAGGAUGAUCAGUCACACUGGAACUGAGACACGGUCCAGACUCCUACGGGAGGCAGCAGUGGGGAAUAUUGGACAAUGGGCGAAAGCCUGAUCCAGUCAUGCCGCGUGUGUGAAGAAGGUCUUCGGAUUGUAAAGCACUUUAAGUUGGGAGGAAGGGCAGUAAGUUAAUACCUUGCUGUUUUGACGUUACCAACAGAAUAAGCACCGGCUAACUUCGUG